RNAcentral lists this unclassified non-coding RNA (174 nucleotides) under plant metagenome. RNAcentral's name for it is "partial contains small subunit ribosomal RNA, internal transcribed spacer 1, and 5.8S ribosomal RNA". The record is from RNAcentral.
UUUCCGUAGGUGAACCUGCGGAAGGAUCAUUACAAAAUGUUAUGGGAUGUCCUAACGGGCACCCAAGCAAACGCAUCCAUAUUUAACUUUUGAGACAAUUACUAGUCUGAUAAGGCCAUAUGCUGUAAAAAUUUAAAUAUAUUAAAACUUUCAACAACGGAUCUCUUGGCUCUC